GGCGAGUGGCGGACGGGUGAGGAAUACAUCGGAAUCUACUCUGUCGUGGGGGAUAACGUAGGGAAACUUACGCUAAUACCGCAUACGACCUACGGGUGAAAGCAGGGGAUCUUCGGACCUUGCGCGAUUGAAUGAGCCGAUGUCGGAUUAGCUAGUUGGCGGGGUAAAGGCCCACCAAGGCGACGAUCCGUAGCUGGUCUGAGAGGAUGAUCAGCCACACUGGAACUGAGACACGGUCCAGACUCC
This 246-nucleotide ribosomal RNA is filed under the name uncultured Stenotrophomonas sp. Its description in RNAcentral is "partial 16S ribosomal RNA". It matches the Rfam family "Bacterial small subunit ribosomal RNA", at positions 90 to 339 of the family's 1533-position model. The record is from RNAcentral. Lineage: Bacteria; Pseudomonadati; Pseudomonadota; Gammaproteobacteria; Lysobacterales; Lysobacteraceae.